This is a long non-coding RNA of Meleagris gallopavo (turkey), 5225 nucleotides long. NCBI's taxonomy places the organism in Eukaryota, Metazoa, Chordata, Aves, Galliformes, Phasianidae. The record is from Ensembl.
GGGUAAGAGAGAUGGAAAGGAGACUGAAAACCUACCCAAUUUUGUCUUUCCCAUUCGCCUAUAACACAAACUGAAAGUGCUUCCAAAGUUACUUCUGGUGCAAUUUAGGAGAAAUGCCAUGUACUGUAGUAAGAAAAAAAAAACAUAUAUAUAUAUAUAUUUUUUUUAUUCAACUGCAAGAGAUUGCUUUAAAAAUAGUCAUUCUUAAAACUUUCCCAUAAUGCACAAUGGUUUUGGCCAUUAUUUUUCAUUGCAAAGCUAACCUAUCAAGAGGUAAGACGACGUCCUCUGAAAAUGACGUGGUGCUUUUUACACUGUUAGAGCGCAAGUUCAUCAUGUUUCAUUGGCUUCGUGUGCUCCUCUCCGGAAAUGAAGCGAAGGAUGCUCCCAGCUCUUACAAAAUGCUCUGACAUCACUAGAUGAGAAGUGUGGAGUAUUGCUACAACAGGGAACUUCUAAUCCAAUGUCAUGUUUCGGUACGCUUCUUGCUUGUUAAGAGGUCUGUUUACAAGGCAUUGUAAACACUGUUCACUGCUAACCCAAGAUAUCUUUUCACCAUGAAGCAGAUUACUGUGCCUCUACAUUACAUGAUCUUAUUUUUGUAUUCAUUCAAUAAAUGGGGCCCUGGAAGGGCAUAUCUUGUUGCAUUUCUGUUUUCAUUCCUGUCCUUGCCAGCUUAGCAGCAGACAAAUGGCCUUUUUGGGCUUAUGCAGAUGAGCUCUGCUUGAAUGUUCCAACUACAGGGUCUUAGAAGGCUGCACUGGAGGUGUGACCAUGUCGUGGAAAAUGCUGAUCAUCUUUCCAAGUCUGGCUUCUGUUCUUUCAGAGUGCUAUGUGCCAUUCUCCCAGACUGAUGCAUCUGAUGCAGUGUUGGGGACGUCCCUCGGUAUAGCUUGGGAGUUGCAGCCAGUUGAGAUGCCUGGGAGUCAGCACGACUGUUCUGAGCUAUUAGCAGAUGUCAGGCAGAUGCUCCACAACUUCGAAGUCCAGAGACUUGCAUUUACAUAAAGAUCUCAGGUUUCACCUUAAUUGCAUGACUUAAGCAGGUGAGUCACUAACCACAGACCUAAGCAUGUGGUCUUUGCACUGUAUUCAAGAUACUGCGAUAAGAACUGUCUCAGCUCCCUGCUGUCUCCUGAGUGAGGACCAGAGUGUUACCUUGGAUUCAGUUCUCUACUUUUUCUCCUCAUUUAGACAUCUCAAAUAGAUGCUUGCAUUUAGGUAGGGUGAGUCCAGUUAGUAAUGCUCCCUGUUUUAAUCUCUUGCUGUGUGAGUGAAUUGUUCUCUGCAGGAAGUGCCUUCCUGCAUAAAGAGUUGGUGUUGCAGCUGCUAUGUAGUAAUUUUUUAUUUUUUUUUUUCAAGUUACCUGAGCAAUUACACAAGGGCAAACAUUGUAAUCACUGGAAUUGAAAUUGCUUAUCUUGGAAAAAAGAAUUUUUUGGAUGGACUUCACGCCAACUAUAGCCUUAUUUCUGUUGGUCUCUGUGGAUCUCCUCAUUGAAGAAGAACAGAAGUCAGAUGCCAGAUUCUGUGGAGUGGAGCAGAAGUUUGUAAAGUUGCAUUAAUUAUUUGUUCUCCUCUUUAAAGUGAUGUCAGAGUCCUGUACUGAUUUCUCAGAGCGGGAAGGGGCCAUUACUUUAAGACUCUGUUUUCUUUUUUAAAAACAGACACUUUUAAAGGUUUGUUUAUUAAAACACAAACAAAGCCCUGCAGGGAUAAUUUAAGUAUGUGUGAUAUAAUUACGAGAGUUGGAGUUGGGUUACAACUGUAUUUACAAGUCUGAAGGAGUUUCUCAUGGACAGAAUGAGGGUGUUACAACUGCAUCACAGCUGAAAGAAACCACUAUCAUAAAAAUCCUUGUGGCUUCUUGACAGGUUCUUACAGGAAGGUGACUCCUCAUCAGAAGCUUUUUGCAGUUCCCACAGUCGCAUGUAUGUUUACAUCUUGCUCUCCUCCUCGUAUCCUGGCACUGUUUGUCAUGUUUUGUUCUUACUGAAGUAAUGGCACUUCCAGCUGUGGAUUACUGUCUCAGCAGAAACUAAGUUUUUAGUUCAAGUCAGAGCACUAAAGCGUGUCUUGCCUGGUGCAAUUUUACACACAAGAUAGAGAUCAUCAUGCAAACCAUAAUGACCUCAAAGCAUAGUGCCAGCCGGUGACACAAGUAAGUUCUUCUUUGCAUCCCAGUGCUUUUGUGAGACAAGACCAGUUAAUGCAUUAAAAAUAAUUGUCUGGAGCAUAGCCUCUAAAACUCAAAGUGUAUUUUGGGGCUUGUACAUUGAAACCAGUUGUAAAGAUUUGGCAGCUUUGCUGCUUUCAUAAUGCUUUCGCAUCCUGCUACUCAGUGGACGUGGGCAGUGGGCCUGUAGAAGCUGGAUUGCACAUGGGGUCCUCUGAAGGGCUCUGCUCUAGCAGUGGCUUGAUACGCAGGUCAGAAGGUAUGAGAGCUUCCUCCCUGCUGGCUCUUCAUGUGUUGGAGGCCACCAACAGCAAACACUUCGUCAUUUCUACCUCAAACCCAUUUGUUCUGUUGGGGUGACAGCCUGCCUUCCAGAACAUAUCCCUUUUUCUUGAUAGAGUGCUGCAGUAGUUAACAGCAAGUAUGUUAAACAAGGAAAUGCAACACCUUUUGAAUGUUUGCUUGCUGAAUUCCUAGUGUAACAAUAGUCGGGGUCCUGCCAUGCUAUCUGCCAAAAACAACACUCUGCUGCUGUGAAGCAUAGCAUAUCUGAUGCACACUGGGUUUCAACCUGCUGCAUGGCCUCUUUCUUGAUAAAACACAGGAACAUCCUGGAAUUAAAUUUAGAUUUCAUUACUUCUAGUUCCACCUCCCUAGUAUUUACUUGCCUGUAGAAGUAUGCUGUUCUAGGUAGCAGAGAAGAAAGGAAUAAAUUAAUACUAAGCUGUUUAAAGGAAAAAUCAGAAUGAACGACUUAUAGACUGAACAUGUGGGUUUAUAAUAUCCCAUGUGGUGUCCAGAGUAGGGGAGUGUAAGCUGGACUCGAGUGUUAUCUUUUACAGCAGCUGAUGGAGGUAAUAAAAAAACACAUGGGAAGCUUUGGAAACAGAUAUGUGUGGAAUUGGUUUCUCUGGAUUUGUCUCAUGGUUGCUGGCAUUAAAGGAAGAAACCAGAGCCCUGCCCUACUAAAGCAUUUCUAAGGAUUUCUUCCUUUGUGGGUUUUCUGGUAUGUAGUAAAUACAAGUCCACAAUAACAGCAUCUCCCCUAGCCAAGGCAGCUCUAGUUGUUUCUUCUCUAUGGCCUCAAAGCCUCAUGAAACUUCGUUACCUUUGUUGCGCUUGGCUGAAAUUGGUCUAUGUGUUCAAAAGGAAAUACUCUCAUCCUUCACAAAAUACAGGCCUGUAAGCCUGUGCUUUUCUAGAAAAAAACAGCAGGAAUAACCCAGAGCUAGGAUCACUCCUAUUUGCUAGAAUGUCUAAGUAGUUCAAGGGCUCUGCUUUGAUAUGUUGGUUUUACUGAACGGCUGCUUCUCAUGGGCAAAGCUGGUCUUUGCUCUACAGCAUUUUGGGCCAACAUCCUUGUACUCCCAUGACCUUGGACCAGAUAAACCUGAUCUGUGAACACGCUUAUGUUGUUCAGUGUAAUUGUCCAGCCUGUGUCCAAACAGCCCAGCUGUGGAUCAGGAGGGUGUAGCAGCACGUUAUCCUGUGCUCUGUGUUUCGUACAGUCUUGUCUUUCUGUGCUGUUCCUGGGCUUGAUUGAGUGCUAAGAGCACCGCUGCUUUGACUGAGCUGUGCCAGCAGGCUGUGCUGCGGGGCAGCUCUUCCGCAGCCUGCCUGCUCAGCAUGCCUCUGGCAGGGAAACCCCAAAGGGUCUGGGAAAAGAGGCUCUGCCUAAUCUUGGGCUUCCUGCUUAGCCUUGGGUGAUACUUCGCUUGUGCCUUGGCUGGAGUUCAGUUUGGAUUACCAACUAGAUUUGAAGGAGAGAUCUUUUGCUGGUGCACAGAACUUGCUCCGCAUCCUGCUGCUCCCAGUAAAUGGGCUAAAACUAUUUGAACAAGAAUGUGCAGUCUGUUUGUAAAAGCAAACAACUUAUCUUUGUGAAAAGCAACACGUGUUUUAACCCUUUCAAGCUGGGGCAAGUGAAAGCAAUUAUGUUGGUUUGAGGGUCGUGAACCUGGACAAGUGGUUCCUGUUUUUUAGUGGAAGCAGAUGAAAUUCCCAAAGCUUGUAAAUGUAAACACUGUUAAAUCCUCCAGCAUAACUCCUGUGAAACUAAGGGAUGGAGAAGAAAGAAUGAGAGGUUCAGUCAGCCUGAAAAAUGCUCACAUUUAGAGGUGACCAUUCAUAGCUAGAUGGGAAGGAAAACAGGUCAGGAGAUAACCAAAUAUUAAAAUAAAAUUCAUUGGAGAUCUCAGACACUCAGAUUAGAAUCACAGAAUGUCCUCAGUGGGAAGGGACCCUUAGAGGCUGUCUAGUCCAACUUGCCUGCUAUGAAUAAGGACACCUACAGUACUAUGGUGAGAGUUUUCAAAGGUACCUAGAAAGGGGCAUUAAAAUCCCAUAGUUCUGAGAGAAAUUUGGCUCACCUUUGGUCAGUGCAGCUAUGCUGUGUUCAAGUACCAGACAGACAAGGCCUUAAAAACUUUUCUUACCGAGCAUUACCACCUUUUGAUUUUGAGCAAAAGUACAUGUAGUUGUGUGUGAAUUUUUCCCAUUGAAAGAAUGGGAAAGUCUUGUAUUGAUUCUUUUUUCCUAAGGCUCAUGUUGCCAUUGUAAUUUCUUUGUUUGCCUUUUUCCAACUUCUGAAGCAGUAAAGAUUUAAGCACUCGUGAUUCCGAUGCUCAAGUACCUCUUGUGCAAUACUUCUGCAACGGUGGAAUGCUUCACUCAGAAAAGCAGAUCAGAUGAAAUGAGAAAAUCCUGGGACAGAGAGCCAUUAUCAUGUUCCUGAUAGAAGGUGGCUUUGAACUAGUUCUCUCCACGUGCAUCUCAGUGAAUAUUCCCAGCAGUGACAGACAGCAGUACUGCUGUGCCUUACAAGCCAACGUUUAGAUUCCAGAGAGGAAAGCUGUCCAAUCUGUAGCAUAAAAGUCAGUUCCUCUAUCUCACUGUUCUAUUUGUUGGGUCAAAGUGUAUUGCAAGGAUGUUGUAAGGGUUGAAGGCAGUUAUAUUGCUGUUGUCUUGUUGAUUUGACAUAUUUCUAAAUGAGGGUCUCUUCUGUAAGAGAGGAGUCUGGUCCCCGAGCACUUUGUGACAACAUGCAGUG